AAUAAACCAAUUUUUUACUUUUACCUUUAAUUUUUGAUUCUUCGUCUUAUUCAAAAUUUUUUUGCGAUUGCUAUUUUUGUUUUUAUUAGAUGAUAAAUUAUGAAUAGUACUUUUUGUGUGACUAAUUUUUUUUCUAAUUUCCUAAAAAUUUUUCAAAUAAGACAGAUGGUCAAACGUUGGACACGGAAAUCAGAG
This 195-nucleotide microRNA precursor is filed under the name Oryza brachyantha (malo sina). RNAcentral's name for it is "MIR812 microRNA precursor family". It matches the Rfam family "MIR812 microRNA precursor family". Lineage: Eukaryota; Viridiplantae; Streptophyta; Magnoliopsida; Poales; Poaceae. The record is from Rfam by way of RNAcentral.